This is a long non-coding RNA of Zingiber officinale, 440 nucleotides long. RefSeq lists it as uncharacterized. The record is from RefSeq and is a predicted model, not a curated record. Lineage: Eukaryota; Viridiplantae; Streptophyta; Magnoliopsida; Zingiberales; Zingiberaceae. The transcript has 3 exons.
UGUUUGAUUGUUUUGGAGAUUUUUUGUCUUAAUGAGUGAUUCACCUUUGUUUAGAACCCUCCCAAGCUGGCUACUCCUCUAUUUGAUACUAAAAUGGCAGAGGACCCUAAGAUGACAUACAUAGACCUAGAUAAUCUUCAAAUUGUGUUUUGAACGAAGAGUGUUUGGUCUUGCAUUGUGAUGGCGUCUGAGUGUUGGCUUGGUCUCUGUUGGCUUGCUACAUAUCUAGAAAGCUCCAUGAUUUGUGCUAAGGUAGUUCUUCUCAACGAGCAUAUCUGAGAUGGAACUUCCAUGCUACUUGCUUUUCCGAGUUUGAUUUGCUGCUACAAGAUCGGAAAGAUAUUAUCUGAAGCGUAUCCAAUUUGGAUUUUUCCAGCUCAAAAUAUCAGUAGAUUUGUUGUGGUAGUGCCUUAACAGGAUUUGAGACUUCUCCAUUCAGG